GACGAACGCUGGCGGCGUGCCUAAUACAUGCAAGUAGAACGCUGAAGGAGGAGCUUGCUUCUCUGGAUGAGUUGCGAACGGGUGAGAACGCGUAGGUAACCUGCCUGGUAGUGGGGGAUAACUAUUGGAAACGAUAGCUAAUACCGCAUAAUAGCAGUUGUUGCAUGAUAACUGUUUGAAAGGUGCAAUUGCACCGCUACCAGAUGGACCUGCGUUGUAUUAGCUAGUUGGUGGGGUAACGGCUCACCAAGGCGACGAUACAUAGCCGACCUGAGAGGGUGAUCGGCCACACUGGGACUGAGACACGGCCCAGACUCCUACGGGAGGCAGCAGUAGGGAAUCUUCGGCAAUGGACGGAAGUCUGACCGAGCAACGCCGCGUGAGUGAAGAAGGUUUUCGGAUCGUAAAGCUCUGUUGUAAGAGAAGAACGAGUGUGAGAGUGGAAAGUUCACACUGUGACGGUAUCUUACCAGAAAGGGACGGCUAACUACGUG
RNAcentral lists this ribosomal RNA (494 nucleotides) under uncultured bacterium. Its description in RNAcentral is "partial 16S ribosomal RNA". It matches the Rfam family "Bacterial small subunit ribosomal RNA", at positions 28 to 507 of the family's 1533-position model. The record is from RNAcentral.